Molecule: long non-coding RNA, 899 nt
Organism: Oncorhynchus tshawytscha (Chinook salmon)
Lineage: Eukaryota; Metazoa; Chordata; Actinopteri; Salmoniformes; Salmonidae
Exons: 2
Source: RefSeq, a predicted model, not a curated record
CCGGUUCACCAGGUCAAAUAAAUAUUAUUUUCCGCAGUUGUUGUACAUUUUGGUUUAGCACUACACAGCUGAUUUAAAUAAUGAACUCAUUAUCAACCUUUGAUUAUUUGAAUCAACUGUGUAGUGCUAGGUCAAAAAACAAAAUGUGCAACCCUUAGGGUCCCCAGGACCGAAUUUGGGAAAUGCUGCUCCAAACCUAACCCCGUACCCUUCCCUUUAAAAAAACGUUGAAGUUUGAAACUGCAGUCGACUGUGGUAUUUUGGACGCAGUAUUUGUAGCAUACUGCAGGUAUACUGCAACCUUUUCUCGUAAGUGUUACCUUAACCGUUUGAAAUGUCAACGUCAUUGGGGUGACUUCAGCAUUGGGACGUCCCACGGAACCCGUUUAGACGUCAGGAAAUAGUUACCAUCUUGUCCCAUACAGACUCGGGAGAGGCAAAGUUCGAGAGCCAUGCGUCCUUCAAAACAUGGCCUUGUCGAGCCGCACUGCUCGCUUAACCCAGAAGCCCGCCACACCAAUGUGUCAGAGGAAACACCAUACAACUGGCAACCUGUCGUCAGCGUGCAUGCACCCGGCCCGCCACUAUGAGUCGCUAGAGCACGGUGGGACAAGGACAUCCCAUCCGGCCAAACGCACUUAACCCUGACGACAAUGGGCCAAUUGUGCGCCGCCUCAUGGGUCUCCCGGUCGUGGCCUGCUGCGACACAGCCUGGGAUCGAUCCUGGGUCUGUGGUGACACCUCUAGCACUGAGAUGCAGUGCCUUAGACCGCUGCACCACUCGGGAGGCCAUGUACUUUUAUUGUAAUCUUAACUGUAAUCCAGUUAAUUUGGUUCUGCUAUUCGAUGAAGUAACACAUUAAUCUGUUUUAUAAAUAAACAAAAUAUCUGACAUUGUA